UGUCUGCAAAGCCUGCUUUUUUACAAAUAUGCUUUUUAUUUAACUGGCAAAAGUACCAAACGCUCCAUACGCUAUUUUAAAUCAGUCACGUAUGUGCAUGUAUUGCACAUCUGCGACCAGCUGCAUCAGAUUAGGUUUUGCCAAAACCAGGGCUCUGCAGCCGCUGUUCUCGGCCACUCUACAACACUUUUCUCACACAGCCUCCUCCUCAGGCGCAGGAAGUGAGAGUUCUGCAGGACGGGCUCCAGCAUCAGCAGCACAAUCACAUCCAUGUUUUCAUCAAGCAGUCUUUGGUGUGCCAGAUACAUUGCCAGUUUGAAAACCCCAGUCUUAACAUAGCCCUCCGUUAAGACGAACAGGGUCUUGCGACUAUACUGGAUGCUCUGUGUGAGGUUAUUUACCAGGGGGAUGCCGGGGGUCCAAUCCCUAUCCUCAAGACAUAGAGGAAGAUGCUUCUCUCCUUCCUCUUCCAGUUUCACUCGCAGAUUCCUCAUCACCCACUCAGAGACAUGUGGAUCUGUGGUGUCGUAGGUCACAAAGACAUCAUAAAUGGCGCCUGGAAGCAGCCACUGAACGGCCGCCGGCACCUCCACGUCCCUGUGUCGAGCCUUUGGGCUGUGGUCUCUGAAGACAUCUGCCUUUUACCAGAGGAAUUAGAGGCGACUGAACCCAGGGACCAGCUCUUGGGCAAUGUUUUGGCAGAGAAUAUCCUCUUUACUUUUGGGGGAUCUUGAGACUGGAAAUUUGGACCGCCACCCUUCCUUUGAAAGUCUGCCUGUGUCGCCUCCUGUUCAGAUCCUCGAUGUGUACAGAACGAAUCAUGUCCAGUGUGACUUACGGGGACCUGGCCAUUGAUGAUGACCUCCUCAGCGAAGCGGACUUUAACCGGAUUAGUCUUUAACUUGGCCUUUUUGGCUGCGCUGAUGAAUGCCGAUUUGGGUGACUUUUGAAGGGGAAGAAGAAAAACACAGAUUGAAAGGACGAUUAGUUCCUUUUAAGAGAUGAGUCAUUUACUUUUUCAGCUCCACACAAUUCAAGGACAUGUUGGAACAUGACAACAUCCCAUGUCUCCACUCUGAUGCUGAUGCAAUUAGGAAGGCUGUGUGUAGGACAUAAGAGGGAGGAUCCCCUCGCUGCCUGCUGGUGUGUCAUUGAGGCUGCAAAGAAACGGCUGAUAAACAGAUGCAAUUACAGGGUGUAUUAUAAGAGCUCCUCUGAGAUCGUGGAAUACUACAGCCAUGUAUUUUUUGCAAAUCAAAUCCUUUUCAGGUUGUUAAGUGGCUGUUACUCGAUGACUCCACACUCAUCAUGAUAAGCCUCCGAAACACACACAUUCAGAAUGCAGGGAUGAAUGUAGAUAUUACAGUAUCAAUUUAAGGGGAAAUGUUUGACAUUAUAAAAACACAUUAUUAUUGUUACAGUAAACAGGGAAAUAAAAGAUGGCACCCCUCUAGAAACACCAUAUAUUUCUGUGAGCACUCGUACAUGAUUUGGGCUAUUUUUUGAGGUUAUUCAAGCAUAAUGCACAUUCCCACUGACUUAUUAUGUGCAGAAUAAAUAAAGGUCAACUAUAUGCUCCUGGCCCUGUGUACACAACCAUCUGGUGCCUCAUGACUGGGGUAAAUGUGAAAGAGGCAGGUUCAGCCGAGGUCUUGCAAGGAUCUGACGCUACAACAUGAGAAGACUUUGAAAAACACUGGACUCCUUUUGGUAAGUGGGACUGUAACACGCAGCCUUAGUGGUGCCACCACAAACAUAAGGCAUGAUUAAUGGAUUGCAUUUAUUGGUUCAACAAAAUAAUCCGCUUUAAACGCAAAAACAGCUUAUUGGAAUCUACUCCAUUUCAUUCAGAGGAAGGAGAAACUUACUGGGUACGGCUGAAUAACGCUCAACAAUAUGGACUCCUUGCAGCUCCUGCAAGACACACAAAAUAGAGAAUACAUUCGAUAAAGAUUCAAAGAAAAACAAAUGUGAGGAAAUCUGGAAAUAAUUCAGUUUUUGUUACUGUCAUUUUUUGGACAUCAUGGCGGAUGGUAUCACAGGGAACACUGUGUCCCAGUGAUGGUCCUGCAGCACUGUCCUGCAUUCACAGUUUUACUGCAGAGAGCGAGUCCAUUCAAGGCCACAGGAGCUGUGAAGGAGUGGCCACUUGGGCACUUCUCCCUGUACUAAUGUUCUGUUUACAGACUGCUGCACAGGUCGUGCGAGGACCAGACACUCACAGCUAGCCACUCAGCUGUGUCAGUGAUAUUAAUUUAAUGAGCCGUACGAACAAACUUCGACACCAGCUAAACCCUCAAUCAUGGUGAAAUGAGCAGGUGCUUCAUGAUGUGCCAUAUCUGUCCAGCUGAAAUAUUUGGUUUAAUUGCUUUAAAAAUAGUCUUAUAGAAAGUCUGUGGCAAAAUGUCUAUCAAGGGUAAACUGUGAAAACUAUAAAGAAGUGAACGACAGUGCCUAAAUAAAGUAUUUACCUGCCUUGUAA
Molecule: long non-coding RNA, 2482 nt
Organism: Eleginops maclovinus (Patagonian blennie)
Lineage: Eukaryota; Metazoa; Chordata; Actinopteri; Perciformes; Eleginopidae
Exons: 4
Source: RefSeq, a predicted model, not a curated record